Non-coding RNA from Schistosoma rodhaini, 45 nucleotides. NCBI's taxonomy places the organism in Eukaryota, Metazoa, Platyhelminthes, Trematoda, Strigeidida, Schistosomatidae. The record is from Rfam.
AUCCAACUGACGAGUCCCAAACAGGACGAAACACGCGUCCUGGAU